UAGGGUGGUUUUAGCGGUGGGGCUCACCUGUUCCCAUUCCGAACACAGAAGUUAAGCCCACCAGCGCCGAUGGU
Molecule: ribosomal RNA, 74 nt
Filed under: Chryseobacterium indologenes
Lineage: Bacteria; Pseudomonadati; Bacteroidota; Flavobacteriia; Flavobacteriales; Weeksellaceae
Also listed under: 1 other name
Source: RNAcentral